RNA transcript from Piliocolobus tephrosceles (Ugandan red Colobus), 5613 nucleotides. It is a transcript of the gene named non-SMC condensin I complex subunit D2, with no coding region annotated. The record is from RefSeq and is a predicted model, not a curated record. Lineage: Eukaryota; Metazoa; Chordata; Mammalia; Primates; Cercopithecidae. The transcript is spliced from 32 exons.
CCCGCCGGAAGUUUUGGAGCGCUGGACGAGCUGAGGUCCGCGACUCGUCGCUAAGAUUCCCCAAAACUGAGAUUUCAAGAAAAUUCACCCUUUCUGCUUUUUUGGCGUCCUUCAACUGUGAAGGAAAUGAAGGUUGAGAACCUGGAACCCGCUUCCAAAGACCAAGCCCUUUCUCUGUGCCUCACAACAGUCUUGCGCUGUAGCUGUUUUUAUUACUCCCAUUUUACUACUGGGAAGGAAAUUUGAGGCCCUGAAAGUUAAGUGACUUGCUGGACGUCACUUAGCGGAGGAGAUGGAGAAACCUGGAUUAGAGGCGAUGCCUUCUAACUCCCAGCGUGGACUGGCCUCCUUUCCUGGGGGUGACUGAAUGAUUCACUAUUCCAGGGCACUACUGCUGCUCAGCCAGGGACGUGACAUCUCUGGCCGGCAGAAAUACGGCCUCCUCCCCGCCGACCGGGCAAAGGGGUACCUUGCGGGCAAGGAGACAUUCGCAGACUGGCCAGGCGUGGGAGUGGGGGCUGGAGCCGCCCCAGGCGGCGCUGUGAUUGGCCGGCCGCUCCAGCGAGCGUCGCGAUUGGCCCCCUGGCAGCCGUUGAGAUUUGAAUUCGGUAUUUGUGGCUUUGCCCGCGCGUUGCCAGACUCAGAGGCGGCCAUUUGCCUCUGUCUGCCGGGGAUUGGCCGGAUUCUCCGCCAACUUGAAAACUGCCUCGCUAAUUGGUGCGUGUUGUGCACGAGUGUUUUUUCCUUUUCAUUUUAGCCUGACUGCCGGAGUCAGAGCCGCGGGUGAGAUCCCCAGCCCUGUGAGCCUGUAGGAGAAGAAUGGCUCCCCAAAUGUAUGAGUUCCAUCUGCCAUUAUCGCCAGAGGAGUUGUUGAAAAGUGGAGGGGUGAAUCAGUAUGUUGUGCAAGAGGUACUGUCCAUCAAACAUCUUCCACCGCAGCUUAGAGCAUUUCAAGCUGCCUUUCGAGCUCAGGGGCCGCUGGCUAUGCUGGAGCACUUUGACACUAUCUACAGCAUUUUGCAUCACUUUCGAAGUAUAGAUCCUGGCCUCAAAGAAGAUACUCUGGAAUUCCUGAUAAAAGUGGUGUCCCGCCACUCCCAGGAGCUUCCAGCUAUCCUGGAUGAUACAACUUUGAGUGGAUCAGAUAGAAACGCCCAUCUAAAUGCCCUCAAAAUGAACUGUUAUGCUCUGAUACGUCUCCUGGAAUCCUUUGAGACCAGUCAGACAAACCUCGUGGACCUGGACCUUGGUGGGAAGGGUAAGAAAGCUCGGACCAAGGCAGCCCAUGGCUUUGACUGGGAAGAAGAGCGGCAACCAGUUCUUCAGCUUUUAACACAGCUACUUCAGUUGGACAUCCGUCACCUGUGGAAACACUCAAUGAUUGAAGAAGAAUUUGUCAGUUUGGUUACUGGCUGUUGCUACCGCCUUCUGGAGAAUCCCACCAUUAGUCACCAGAAGAACCGCCCCACUCGGGACGCCAUAACACACCUGCUUGGUGUAGCCUUGACGCGUUAUAACCAUAUGCUCAGUGCUACAGUGAAGAUCAUCCAGAUGCUGCAGCACUUUGAACACCUGGCACCUGUACUGGUUGCAGCUGUGAGUCUGUGGGCAACUGACUAUGGAAUGAAGAGCAUAGUAGGCGAGAUUGUAAGAGAGAUUGGACAAAAGUGUCCCCAAGAGCUGAGUCGAGACCCUUCAGGGACAAAGGGCUUUGCAGCAUUCCUGACAGAACUAGCAGAACGUGUCCCAGCUAUCCUGAUGUCCAGCAUGUGCAUUUUGCUAGAUCACCUGGAUGGAGAGAAUUACAUGAUGCGUAAUGCUGUGCUCGCAGCCAUGGCAGAGAUGGUGCUGCAGGUUCUCAAUGGCGAUCAACUGGAAGCAGCAGCCCGAGACACCAGAGACCAAUUCCUGGAUACUUUACAAGCCCAUGGCCAUGAUGUCAACUCCUUUGUGCGGAGCCGUGUUUUGCAGCUCUUCACCCGAAUUGUCCAGCAGAAGGCUCUCCCCUUGACACGUUUCCAGGCAGUGGUGGCUUUAGCUGUGGGACGUCUGGCAGACAAGUCAGUGCUAGUAUGUAAAAAUGCCAUCCAGCUGCUGGCCAGUUUUCUAGCCAAUAAUCCUUUUUCCUGCAAGCUUAGUGAUACUGACCUUGCUGGACCACUGCAGAAGGAGACCCAGAAAUUACAAGAGAUGAGGGCCCAGAGGCGAACUGCAGCAGCUUCUGCAGUGCUGGACCCAGAGGAGGAGUGGGAAGCCAUGCUGCCAGAGUUGAGGUCUACCCUGCAGCAGCUUCUACGGCUUCCCCAGGGAGAGGAGGAGAUUCCUGAGCAAAUUGCCAAUACAGAGACGACUGAAGAGGUGAAAGGACGCAUCCAUCAACUGCUUGCCAAAGCUAGUUACAAGCAGGCCAUCAGUCUCACUCGAGAAGCCACAGGCCACUUCCAGGAGUCCGAACCCUUCAGUCAUAUAGACCCAGAGGAGUCAGAGGAGACCAGGCUCUUGAAUAUCUUAGGACUUAUCUUCAAAGGCCCAGCAGCUUCCACACAAGAAAAGAAUCCCCAGGAGUCUGUAGGAAACAUGGUCACAGGACAGACUGUCUGUAAAAAUAAGCCCAGUGUGUUGGAGCCUGAGGAGUCCAGGGGAAGUGAUGAACUGGUGAAGCAGGAGAUGCUGGUGCAGUAUCUGCAGGAUGCCUACAGCUUCUCCCGGAAGAUUACAGCGGCCAUUGGCAUUACCAGCAAGAUGAUGUAUGAAAACACAACUACAGUGGUGCAGGAGGUGAUUGAAUUCUUUGUGAUGGUCUUCCAAUUUGGGGUACCCCAGGCCCUGUUUGGGGUGCGCCGUAUGCUGCCUCUCAUCUGGUCUAAGGAGCCUGGUGUCCGGGAAGCUGUGCUUAAUGCCUUCCGCCAACUCUACCUCAACCCCAAAGGGGACUCUGCCAGAGCCAAGGCCCAGACUUUGAUUCAGAAUCUCUCUCUGCUGCUAGUGGAUGCCUCGGUUGGGACCAUUCAGUGUCUUGAGGAAAUUCUCUGUGAGUUUGUGCGGAACGAUGAGUUGAAACCAGCAGUGACCCAGCUGCUGUGGGAGCGGGCCACCGAGAAGGUCGCCUGCUGUCCCCUGGAGCGCUGUUCCUCUGUCAUGCUUCUUGGCAUGAUGGCACGAGGAAAGCCAGAAAUUGUGGGAAGCAAUUUAGACACACUGGUGAGCAUAGGGCUGGAUGAGAAGCUUCCACAGGACUACAGGCUGGCCCAGCAGGUGUGCCAUGCCAUUGCCAACAUCUCUGACAGGAGGAAGCCUUCUCUGGGCAAACGUCACCCCCCCUUCCGGCUGCCUCAGGAACACAGAUUGUUUGAGCGACUGCGGGAGACGGUCACAAAAGGCUUUGUCCACCCAGACCCACUGUGGAUCCCAUUCAAAGAGGUGGCGGUGACCCUCAUUUACCAACUGGCAGAGGGCCCCGAAGUGAUCUGUGCCCAGAUAUUGCAGGGCUGUGCGAAACAGGCCCUGGAGAAGCUAGAAGAGAAGAGAACCAGUCAGCAGGACCCGAAGGAGUCCCCCGCAAUGCUCCCCACUUUCCUGUUGAUGAACCUGCUGUCCCUGGCUGGGGAUGUGGCUCUGCAGCAGCUGGUCCACUUGGAGCAGGCAGUGAGUGGAGAGCUCUGUCGGCGCCGAGUUCUCCGGGAAGAGCAGGAGCACAAGACCAAAGAUCCCAAGGAGAAGAAUACCAGCUCUGAGACCACCAUGGAGGAGGAGCUGGGGCUGGCUGGGGCAACAGCAGAUGACACAGAAGCAGAACUCAUCCGCGGCAUCUGCGAGAUGGAACUGUUGGAUGGCAAACAGACACUGGCUGCCUUUGUUCCACUCUUGCUUAAAGUCUGCAACAACCCAGGCCUCUAUAGCAACCCAGACCUCUCUGCAGCUGCUUCACUUGCCCUUGGCAAGUUCUGCAUGAUCAGUGCCACUUUCUGUGACUCCCAGCUUCGUCUUCUGUUCACCAUGCUGGAAAAGUCUCCACUUCCCAUUGUCCGGUCUAACCUCAUGGUUGCCACUGGGGAUCUGGCCAUCCGCUUUCCCAAUCUGGUGGACCCCUGGACUCCUCAUCUGUAUGCUCGCCUCCGGGACCCUGCUCACCAAGUGCGGAAAACAGCGGGGCUGGUGAUGACCCACCUGAUCCUCAAGGACAUGGUGAAGGUGAAGGGGCAGGUGAGCGAGAUGGCAGUGCUACUCAUCGACCCCGAGCCUCAGAUUGCUGCCCUGGCCAAGAACUUCUUCAACGAGCUCUCCCACAAGGGCAACGCAAUCUAUAAUCUCCUUCCAGAUAUCAUCAGCCGCCUGUCAGACCCCGAGCUGGGGGUGGAGGAAGAGCCUUUCCACACCAUCAUGAAACAGCUCCUCUCCUACAUCACCAAGGACAAGCAGACAGAGAGCCUGGUGGAAAAGCUGUGUCAGCGGUUCCGCACAGCCCGGUAUCUGCCCUCCCUGAGGGUUCUUUGUACUGAGCAGGGCCCUGCAGGGGAGAAAGAACUGAGCGGCAGCAGCGAGACCUGGCCUACUGUGUGUCACAGCUGCCCCUCACAGAGCGAGGCCUCCGCAAGAUGCUCGACAAUUUUGACUGUUUUGGAGACAAACUGUCAGAUGAGUCCAUCUUCAGUGCUUUUCUGUCAGUUGUGGGCAAGCUGCGACGUUGGGCCAAGCCUGAGAGCAAGGCUGUAAUAGAUGAAUUUGAGCAGAAGCUUCGGGCCUGUCAUACCAGAGGUUUGGAUGGAAUCGACGAGCUUGAGAUUGGCCAAGCAGGUAGCCAGAGAGCCCCAUCAGCCAAGAAACCAUCCACUGUUUCUAGGCACCAACCUCUGGCUUCUACAGCCUCAGACAAUGACUUUGUCACACCAGAGCCCCGCCGUACUACCCGUCGGCAUCCAAACACCCAGCAGCGAGCUUCCAAAAAGAAACCCAAAGUUGUCUUCUCAAGCGAUGAGUCCAGUGAGGAAGAUCUUUCAGCAGAGAUGACAGAAGACGAGACACCCAAGAAAACAACCCCCAUUCUCAGAGCAUCGGCCCGCAGGCGCAGACCCUAGGAAGCGCGCUCCCGUCUUCCCUGUGCAGGGGUCCUGUAGGGUCACCUGGAAUUCGAAUUGUUUCCCUUGUAAAAUAUUUGUCUUUUAGAAACAAAAAAAACAAAAAAAACUGGCCGGGUGCAGUGACUCACACCUGUAAUCCCAGCACUUUGGGACACUGAGGCAGGUGAAUCACUUGAGGUCGGGAGUUCGAGCCUGACCAACGUGGAGAAACCCUGUCUCUACUAAAAAUAAGAAAUUAGCCAGGCGUGAUAGCGGGCACCUGUAAUCCCAGCUACCCGGGAGGGUGAGGCAGGAGAAUCGCUUGAACCCGGGAGGCAGAGGUUGCGGUGAACCGAGAUCACCCUACUGCACUCCAGCCUGGGCAACAAGAGUGAAACUCUGUUAAAAAAAAAAAAAAAAAUACACAUGAUCUUUAAAAUGUAAGGCCUUUCUCUUAAAUUAGCCUAAUUGAACUGCAUUGAGCCGCUUUCACUUUGGAAUAUGUUUGCCAAUCUCCUUGUUUUCUAAUGAAUAAAUAUUUUUAUAUACUUUUAGA